AAUUCGUACGAGCAACAGGAGACGAACCUCUUUUAUUUUGGCGUUUCUUAUCGGGCGGAACGAAAUUAAUUUCCUGUGCCGCGUGUGUUUCGAAGGGACGCGAACACCACCGAUUGGAAUGAGCAUCAUUUAUGAGCGACGGCCUAUUUAAGUGUGCAAGCAUGAUGAGUUGUGGGUAUAAAAAUCGUUCCCCGUUCAAGUGGAUGUGCCGAUGAGCGCGCAGGGCUAAGGGUGCAGCGCGGGACUGUAAGAAACUUUUGCCAGUUUCAAGUGUCCCAUCCACGCCAGGCUGAAGAGGCUGCCCCCCCCCCCCCCCACCAAGACCAAUCGUCGUCAAUCAUCAGCAACUUCAGCUCAAAUGGGCCAUUUUGAGAGUAGAAAAAGCGGCGGCGGCGGCACACCGGUUGGUAAAGUACUGGCGCAAAGUGUGUGUGUGUGUGUCACAUUCUUGCCCCACUUAACAAAGAGAGAGAGAGAGAGAGAGACAACAGUUGGAAAAAUAUUUAAACUUUGGUCGUAAAUUUUCAUAAACAUUCCAACGACGACGAGUCGCCAUACACGGGCGAGAGAAGGGGAAGGAAAAUCGUUGUAAUAUAGGUACGAGAAACAACAAUGAAGCUUAAUGGAUAUAAAUGGCACACAGAAA
This is a long non-coding RNA of Anopheles merus, 646 nucleotides long. RefSeq lists it as uncharacterized. Lineage: Eukaryota; Metazoa; Arthropoda; Insecta; Diptera; Culicidae. The transcript is spliced from 2 exons. The record is from RefSeq and is a predicted model, not a curated record.